CCGAGUGAGGGCCCGCGCGGUCCGACCUCCAACCCCAUGUUUUCCGACUCUGUUGCCUCGGGGGCGACCCGGCCCCGUUGGGUGCCGGGGCCCCCGGCGGUCCACACCAACUCUGCAUCACGGCGUCCGAGUCACGAUUUGAAUCAAUCA
This 150-nucleotide unclassified non-coding RNA is filed under the name uncultured Ascomycota. RNAcentral describes it as "sequence contains ITS1". Lineage: Eukaryota; Fungi; Ascomycota. The record is from RNAcentral.